RNAcentral lists this ribosomal RNA (1492 nucleotides) under metagenome. RNAcentral's name for it is "bacterial SSU rRNA". It matches the Rfam family "Bacterial small subunit ribosomal RNA". The record is from RNAcentral.
AGAGUUUGAUCCUGGCUCAGGACGAACGCUGGCGGCGUGCUUAACACAUGCAAGUCGAACGAGACGAUUGAAAGCUUGCUUUUGAAAGUCGAGUGGCAAACGGGUGAGUAACGCGUAGACAACCUGCCGUAAAGAUGGGGACAACAGUCCGAAAGGACUGCUAAUACCGAAUGUUGUAAAUCUUCUGCAUGGGAGACUUACUAAAGGUGGCCUCUACUUGUAAGCUAUCGCUUUACGAUGGGUCUGCGUCUGAUUAGCUGGUUGGUGGGGUAACGGCCUACCAAGGCAACGAUCAGUAGCCGACCUGAGAGGGUGACCGGCCACAUUGGGACUGAGACACGGCCCAAACUCCUACGGGAGGCAGCAGUGGGGAAUAUUGCACAAUGGGGGAAACCCUGAUGCAGCGACGCCGCGUGAGCGAUGAAGUAUUUCGGUAUGUAAAGCUCUAUCAGCAGGGAAGAAAAUGACGGUACCUGACUAAGAAGCACCGGCUAAAUACGUGCCAGCAGCCGCGGUAAUACGUAUGGUGCAAGCGUUAUCCGGAUUUACUGGGUGUAAAGGGAGCGUAGACGGAGUGGCAAGUCUGAUGUGAAAACCCGGGGCUCAACCCCGGGACUGCAUUGGAAACUGUCAAUCUAGAGUACCGGAGAGGUAAGCGGAAUUCCUAGUGUAGCGGUGAAAUGCGUAGAUAUUAGGAGGAACACCAGUGGCGAAGGCGGCUUACUGGACGGUAACUGACGUUGAGGCUCGAAAGCGUGGGGAGCAAACAGGAUUAGAUACCCUGGUAGUCCACGCCGUAAACGAUGACUACUAGGUGUCGGGCAGCAAAGCUGUUCGGUGCCGCAGCAAACGCAAUAAGUAGUCCACCUGGGGAGUACGUUCGCAAGAAUGAAACUCAAAGGAAUCGACGGGGACCCGCACAAGCGGUGGAGCAUGUGGUUUAAUUCGAAGCAACGCGAAGAACCUUACCUGCUCUUGACAUCUCCCUGACCGGCAAGUAAUGUUGCCUUUUCUUCGGGACAGGGAUGACAGGUGGUGCAUGGUUGUCGUCAGCUCGUGUCGUGAGAUGUUGGGUUAAGUCCCGCAACGAGCGCAACCCCUAUCUUUAGUAGCCAGCGGUUUGGCCGGGCACUCUAGAGAGACUGCCAGGGAUAACCUGGAGGAAGGUGGGGAUGACGUCAAAUCAUCAUGCCCCUUAUGAGCAGGGCUACACACGUGCUACAAUGGCGUAAACAAAGGGAGGCAGAACCGCGAGGUCGAGCAAAUCCCAAAAAUAACGUCUCAGUUCGGAUUGUAGUCUGCAACUCGACUACAUGAAGCUGGAAUCGCUAGUAAUCGCGAAUCAGAAUGUCGCGGUGAAUACGUUCCCGGGUCUUGUACACACCGCCCGUCACACCAUGGGAGUCAGUAACGCCCGAAGUCAGUGACCCAACCGUAAGGAGGGAGCUGCCGAAGGUGGGACCGAUAACUGGGGUGAAGUCGUAACAAGGUA